GAGCAAUUCUCAGAGAAGUAGGAGCAAUAGCCUCUCUCUGCAUCUCAGUUGAAGCCGUGUUCAAAGCAGUGAAUAUGUCAUAUAAAGCACAUACCACACAUGGAUCACCCACAUGAUCAUGUUCUGAUGAUGAUCUUCGCAAAAAAUCGUCUCGAAAUUGUCUUAGAUGCCACAAUGACUGUAUAAUGACAUUUAGAAAGCAAUUGUAUUCUCCAACUUCAUUCUUUAGCCCAGUGCCAUAUACAUCAUCCAUUUCUUUGACAUUUCCAAAACUAAUUUCAUUACUCAAAUCGCCUGUUUCAGAUAUCAUCCGCUGUCUCCCUGAACUUGCCAUCAAGGGAAAUUUCUGAUGUGCGUGGAAUGCAUCGAGACUUUGGCGUACAGCUCUCUUAAGGUCAGCUUGGAACCUUUCUUCAUCAUCCUCCUCCACAUGUAGCUGUCUCAAUGUCUUCGUUCCACUAUCUCUGGUACCAUUAUUUUCGUGUGAAGAAUCCAGAGCUUUUGAUUCACUAACUUGUGUAUUUUCCCUUUCAGAAGAACCAGAUUGAUAAUUCCCCUCACUAAAUUUAGACGAAUCUUUCGGGCGCCUGCCUUUUCUUCCAGAUCGCUUAUCAGACAUCAAUAUACCAUCCUCUGGAGUUCCUUUGUUUGACAAUCCAUCUCUUUGUGACAUUCUUUCUGGAAAGUUCUUUGAAAGACCUUCUACACUGUUCAAUAGUACAUUGUUCUUCUCACUUCUCUUCCAUUGCUCGUUGACUUUCUGAUCAAUAUCACAAC
This 777-nucleotide unclassified non-coding RNA is filed under the name Hevea brasiliensis (rubber tree). The record is from RNAcentral. Lineage: Eukaryota; Viridiplantae; Streptophyta; Magnoliopsida; Malpighiales; Euphorbiaceae.